CCUAAUACUAUUCAUCAUGACUUAACACAACAAAAUCCCAUGACUUAAAUAUUUUUACUGUCAUUACCUUGUUGGGUUCCUCGCCUGCAAUUGCUUCCGUUAUUAUGCAUGGGGUUGUGAUGCCAUCAACAAGAGCUUCGGCAAUGAUAGAACUGUUAACGCCCAAUCCGAUGGUAGUUAAAUUGGUGUUAUGUGAAAUAUGUGUAGAGUACAUAUGAUCCAAUCCCUUAUGAGAUUAUAGAACAAUAGAGAUUUUGAUGAUCAAAGAUUAAUACCUCUGUUGUCAGAGUAAGACUCUGUAAACCCUACAUCGUUCCUUCUCAGGAUCUUCAUCUUGCUCGCCGUCCCACUCCAUCUCCUUCGGCUCCAUCUCGUCCCGCUCCCGGCCGCGCUCCUGCUCCUUCUCGUCGUCGCCCUCCCAGUCCCGGAGCCACUCCCCUCCUCAGGCUAAGCGCAGGUGAGGCUCGACCCUACAUGGUAUAAAUCCACUGAUUGUUGGCUGAUCUAUUAGGUUCUGUUGCAUUUGUCACAUUGGUAAGAAAAUAUCAUAGCAGCAUCUGAUAGCUUUCGUUGUACCUCUGAUGGAGGAGGCUCUGUGGAUGUUCUGCGUUCUGCCACAGGUUGUUUAUCUUGUUUUGAUGUUGACAAAUGAUACUUUGAUUUUCAGUUGUCUGCAGGGUUGGAUUAGUGCCAUUGCGUGUACAGCUAAACCAUUUAGUGCAAUCUGACUCAUCUUCAUCUGAUCUCACCUCAUGGCUAAUUGAAAAUUGUACCAUUGAACAAUCUGUAUACCGUUUCUGUUUUUUGUGCAAAAUAGGAAAUGUUUAUCAGAACAUCCUAGGCGUGCUAUUUUGUUUGUUGCAACUAACAAGAUCCUUAUGUGAGGACUGACCAGAAUUAAUUCCCCUAUUUAUUUACAUGGGUCUGAUUAUUUGAGAUCUUUACAGUAUAUAUUUGUUUUGUUUUCAGGUUUGCUGGGAAGAAGAGAUAAUGCUUUCAGGCACAGCUUUACGCAUUGUAGCUAGCAUGGUGAGUAGGCUGGGGAAUUCUCAAUCACUAAUCAUUCCUCUUUUUUUCAGGAUAUGGUAGCCUUCUCUUGUUGUGUCUUCGAUGAUGGUGACAAUGAGAAAAAGGAAUUGGAUGCGGACAGGGAAACGGUUGGAUAUGGAAAUUUACUAGGCCAGGACGUGUAAUAAGUCCUGGAACAAUAAGGAUGAAUGGGAAAUGUCCAAUGACCCCUUUGGAGGUAUGUCUGUACUUAAAAGAUGGUAUUUCUGCUUGGAAUGAAGCUUCAAGAAUUUUAUCCUCAAGCAAAUAUAGCAGGUGAUCCUGAACCUUUACAUGCUUACACUUGUGAUGCUUAGGUUGGAUUAAUGCUGCGUGGAAUGGGUUUCAAAAACGAUACUGUAAUAUAUUUGGCUUCUGGAAGGAUAUGUAAAGCAGAAAAGAACAUGUCUCCUCUCCUUGAAAUUUGCCCUGUCUUGUACACAAAAGAAACGAUGGCACUGGAUGAAGAACUUACUCCAUUCAAGAUAUUGUAAUACUCAAAAGUAUAAUAAAAGUGGAUAGAGAUAAACCCAUUAGUUUGUGGCCUCUACUAUUCAUUGCAUGUGAUCAACACUAGUUAAAAGUGGGUAAUUAGAACCAAGAACACCUAAAUAACAUGUGCAUCAUGCUGGAUCUUACUUUGUGUGCAUUUUGUGAUGAUAUAAAAAUAUGGUAAACAAAAAAAAAAUUAUGUUAAUACCCCAAUGGGAAAUUAAAUCCUAAAAGAAAUUC
RNAcentral lists this long non-coding RNA (1779 nucleotides) under Zea mays. RNAcentral describes it as "long non-coding RNA (ZMAY_LNC001870)". The record is from RNAcentral. Lineage: Eukaryota; Viridiplantae; Streptophyta; Magnoliopsida; Poales; Poaceae.